CGCGCCGGCCCGCCUAAUCGUGCGCAACGAGCCGGGGACCCACGUACGUCCGGGGUGAAUCCGCGGGGCCGACCCGUGGUAGGGCGAUCUUCCCGCCCGAAUCCGUCAGCUAACCCGGUAGGCGGUAUCGGAAGGAGUA
Molecule: small RNA, 139 nt
Filed under: Micromonospora echinospora
Lineage: Bacteria; Bacillati; Actinomycetota; Actinomycetes; Micromonosporales; Micromonosporaceae
Description: c-di-AMP sequence
Rfam family: c-di-AMP riboswitch aptamer (ydaO/yuaA leader)
About the family: This family represents a conserved RNA structure found upstream of the ydaO and yuaA genes in Bacillus subtilis and related genes in other bacteria.
Source: RNAcentral